RNAcentral lists this ribosomal RNA (253 nucleotides) under uncultured bacterium. RNAcentral's name for it is "partial 16S ribosomal RNA". It matches the Rfam family "Bacterial small subunit ribosomal RNA", at positions 524 to 776 of the family's 1533-position model. The record is from RNAcentral.
UACAUGGGGUGCAAACGUUGCUCGGAAUUAUUGGGCGUAAAGCGCGCGUAGGCGGUUACUCAAGUCGGAUGUGAAAGCCCUCGGCUUAACUGAGGAAGUGCACCCGAAACUGAGUAGCUAGAGUACUAAAGAGGGUCGCGGAAUUCCCGGUGUAGAGGUGAAAUUCGUAGAUAUCAGGAGGAACACCGGUGGCGAAGGCGACGACCUGGGUAGAUACUGACGCUGAGGCGCGAAAGCGUGGGGAGCAAACAGG